UACUAGAGUAGCACUCGCAUAUCAAUAAGCGGAGGAAAAGAAACUAACAUAGGAUUCCCUUAGUAACGGCGAGUGAAGCGGGAAGAGCUCAAAUUUGAAAUCUUCAAGGUUCUACCUUGACGAAUUGUAGUUUAAAGAAGUGUUUUCUGUUGAAGUUUUGGUAAAAGUUCUUUGGAAUAGGACAUCAUAGAGGGUGAGAAUCCCGUAUUUGAUCACUUAUUCUACUAGCUGUUGUGAUACACUUUCAAAGAGUCGGAUUGUUUGGGAAUGCAGUCCAAAAUGGGUGGUAAAUUUCAUCUAAAGCUAAAUAUUGGCGAGAGACCGAUAGCGAACAAGUACCGUGAGGGAAAGAUGAAAAGAACUUUGAAAAGAGAGUUAAACAGUACGUGAAAUUGUCAAAAGGGAAGCGUUUGACACCAGUGUUGUUUAGUUGAAAAUCAAUUCAAUAGUUUUUGAUUCUAAGUAGUAUUGACUUCAUCAGCUUGCUGCUUUCUUCUCAGAAAUUAUUGAAUGCACUUUUCAGUUAACAAGUCAACAUCAAUUUCUUUUGUUGUAAAAGGGUAAGAGGAAGGUGGCUUACGCUUCGGCGUAAGUGUUUAUAGCCUUUUACCUCUGCAAUCGGAGAGAUUGAGGACAGCAGCGUAGACUCCUUCGGGGGUUAGAUACACUUGAGCUAAGCUAUAGCCUUGUAUAGACAACUUGUUGACUAUGCUCAGUCAUGUAGCUUACUCGCUUGUGCUAUUUUACCUACGCUUAGGAUGUUGAUAGUCACAGCGUGUAC
RNAcentral lists this ribosomal RNA (781 nucleotides) under uncultured Neocallimastigales. RNAcentral describes it as "partial large subunit ribosomal RNA". It matches the Rfam family "Eukaryotic large subunit ribosomal RNA", at positions 20 to 635 of the family's 3401-position model. Lineage: Eukaryota; Fungi; Neocallimastigomycota; Neocallimastigomycetes; Neocallimastigales. The record is from RNAcentral.